Rattus norvegicus (Norway rat) is the source of this 4044-nucleotide long non-coding RNA. RefSeq lists it as uncharacterized. Lineage: Eukaryota; Metazoa; Chordata; Mammalia; Rodentia; Muridae. The record is from RefSeq and is a predicted model, not a curated record.
CCUUGCUCUCUAAGCCUUGCCUUCCACCUACCAGCUACAGGGCCAGGGUUUAGCAUUCCAGAGUUCCUUGUAUCUCCAACCACACUAGAAGGAGCGAAGCCACACCUGCUGUGUGCCUGGCUAAGUGUGGGCUAGGGGGAAGGAGAGGUCCUGAGUUCAAGACCAAGAGAAUAGGUUGGGGGCAGGCCUCAGUGGACCAAGGAGAAGAGACUGGGAAAGAACAUAGCAGAAGCAGAGGGUGCCCACCAGCCUUCCACAGUCUAAGCAAAACCCUGUUCCUCAGUCUCAGCUGGGCACACACCUCUACUGUAUUGUACUGUCUCUAAGGGCCCGGAACAGAAAGGGAACAGCGACCACGGCCCACAGAGACCUGCGGAAUGAGGCCCUGUCCUGCUUUUUGAGAUGCAGUCUCUUCCUCCUACCAGGAGAACCAGAUGGAGCCUGAGGGGAUGGCCCAGCAGUUACUGCUCCUGCAGAGGACCCAAGUUUAGUUCCCUGCACCUAGGAUGGGUGGCUUCCAACUGCCUACAACUCCAGCCCCAGCACCCACUUCCAGCUCCUGUAGGUACCUGCACUCACAUGUAUAAGCCCAAACACAGAUACACAUAAUUUAAAAAUGAAUCCAUAAGAAAAUGAAAACAGAAAGAAAGCGGAAAGGUAAGAGUUUUGUGAGUGUUCUUGGUAGGUCCCCCCAUACUAGGAGUAAUCUUGUGGAUGUCAGGUACCUCUAAGCUGACAAGAGGGCACCUCAUGUCCUUGAGAACCUUUCCUAAAACUCAUUACCUUAGUGAUCAGAAAGUGAUCAGAUCCCGAAGAUUCUACUUGCAGUACCGUCUGCUCAACGCCUGGCCAGAGAGCUUAAAACUGAAGGUCACGAGAAACAAAGGAAUCCUGAGAAGUUGUCUCAGCCUACACAAAUGUGAGCUGUGAGAUCUCUAGGCCCCGCUGGUACCAUGGGGUAGAGGAGGACGUUGGGGACUGAGUGGGAAGGUCCAAAGAAAGCCUCGCUUCAGUGAAGAGAUGUGUCAACCAGGGCUUCCUGGUGCUCCCAAAGGUGUGUGGAAAUGCCAGAUGACUUUAGAGAAACUUGGAGCCUUGAGAGGUCACACAAGGAAUUCUCUGUGGUGCACCACAUGCAACUUUUCUGAAAUGUAAAGUUAUUACAAAGUAAAAGUUCAUUUUUUUUUCCUGAAAGGAGGAAGAGAAACAAAACCAAAUGAUAACAAAAAUAGUUCCCAUGAGUUCUAGGAUUGAGCUCUGAGUGGUCACUUACAAUAUAUCUCAGCCAAGGUCUCCAUUUCCAGUUAUAAGAGUUAGUAUUUCAGGGCUGGAGAGAUGGCUCAGUGGUUAAGAGCACUGACUGCUCUCCCAGAGGUCCUGAGUUCAAUUCCCAGCACCCAUAUAAAGAGCUGAGGUGUGGUGGCUCUUGUGUGUAUAUAAGCCCAGUUCCAGAGAGAGAAAGACAAACAGACCCCUGAAGCUAGUUGUCUAUCCUAAUGGUCUAUCCUGUCUUGUCCUAAUUAGAAGCCCAGAUCCCAGUAAGAGACAAAAAAAUAAAUAAAACAAAAUAAAAUAGAAGGUGGACAGCUCCUAAGGAACUCUUGGCUCCCAGUGGUUUGGUUUCUGGUGGUUCACAACUGCCUCUAUGUUAUCAUGUGACAGUAAAUGAUAUGAGACUGUCUUUGUUAAAAAACAAAAAAAAAAACAAAAAAAAACAAAAAAAAAAACAAAAACGGGGCUGGGGAUUUAGCUCAGAGGUAGAGCGCUUACCUAGGAAGCGCAAGGCCCUGGGUUCGGUCCCCAGCUCCGAAAAAAAGAACCAAAAAAAAAAAAAAAAAAAAAAAAAAAAAAACAACAACUCAGUUACAAACAUCUGUCUACAUGCAAAUUUUGUAUGUAGAUAAGCAUGUAGUAGUGAUUUUUGUUUUUGUUUCUUUGAAAAACACAAAAAUAUUACGGGAAUACAGUUUCAUCUUAAUCUCAGGUGUGGGAUAUGGGGCUGCUUCAGACUGUCCAAGAGCAACCGACUAGGUUUGCCUUGUGCUCUAGCAGGAGCGUGAUCCUGCAAGCUGCAGAUAGCUUCAGCAAUUGUGUGACAUUUGGAAUUCUGGGAACUCCCAGAGUUGAGAGGGUAUAUAAAUGCUAGGGCCGGGAGAGACAGUGUGGUUGUUGGUUAGUAGCCAUUGGUUGCUGUUGUUUGCAGUUUUGUUAUAUAGUUGUGAGCAAAGAAACACUGACAGCGAAGAUUAGACCUGCCCCAGAGAACUCAAUGUCCAUAAUCAGCAGGAAGUAGUCUAAGGAUAACGUCAUCAGAUUUCCCCUCUGUCCUUUUUCCCCUCUCCUAUCUAGUGUUUAGGGGUGCUGAAAGGGUGGAGAAUGUGGUGGAGAAGGGUGGAAGAAGAAAAGAACCCACAAAGUAGGCAGAGUUCGCCUACACAUGUGUGUAUACAUAGAGAAGGCACUGAGGACCAAACUAAUGCCUUGUGCAUUGCACAAGCUAUAGCCUCCCCGCCUAGCUAAUCAUAAAAACCCUUUUGUUAAUUUUUUUAAAAAUACAAAGAAAAUGGUGUACACCAUUAAUCUCAGCACUCGGGAGACAUAGUUCCCGAGUUCCAAGCCAUCCAGGUUUACACAAGUGAGACCCUGUCAAAAAUUAAUAAGUAAACAAACAAACAAACAAAUAAAUAAGCGAGGUACGACCUUAAUUAUUUUAUCUAUAUUGGCACUGAGUAUGUGCAAUGUCUCUUUUCUCAGGAUAGUGGUCUGGGUCAAUAUUGAUCUGUCCUGCCAUCUCCAGUAAGUGUUAUGGGCCUUUACCUACACUUUCACCUUUUUUUUUUUUUGUCCCUCCUCCUCAUCUUCCUCCCCUCCUCUUCCUUCUCUUCCUCCUCUUCCGCCCUCCUCCUCCUCCUUUUUCUGAGAUAGGGUAUUACUGCUUAGACCUAUGUGGUUGGUUUGUCUGUUUGUUUUGUUUUGUUACAGGGUCUCACUUGUAACCCAGGCUGGCUUAGAACUCACUGUGUAGCCCAAGCUGCUCCUCCCAACUUCCAGCCUCCUGGACGAUUGUUCACAGAUCCCUGACAGGCUAUAUACACACAGUGCACUUACCUGUCUCUAUGUACCCAAUACCAACUCCAAUCCAGACCUCGGCCAUUCAAAUGGCCUUAAGGGGCCUCAUUCCUAGAAGCAGACAAAUCCAUGAACUUAGUCGCAGAACAGUGUGACAUACAUCUCUUCAGAGAUUUGAGGAUUGUGAGCACUUUCUACUUGGGUGGAUGAGGACUGGGAGUCCUCUGCUCAAGCCGAGCAGGGAGUUUCCUCAGUGGACUGAGCCACAAGUGAGCAUUUGAUAGCUGUGAUGAAGUCCCAUGGCCCACUAGGACCGUGUAGGAUGAACCAGGUUCCAACUAUAACCAGGAUGGGGUUCCUGUAGAACACCUCUGAGAUUUUCGAACAAGAGAUAGACACGAUUUAUAUCACACUAGUAAGAGCAAUGUUUCCAGUGUAGGACUGAUGUGUACUUGGGUUAAGCAGAGGUAAGAGGUAAGGGGGAAACUAGAGGAAGUACUUGUCUUUCCAUGUGGCAAUAGGUGACAACUGACUGUACUUGGAACUGGAAGCCAAGGAGGUGCAGAUGUAGACAUGUAACAGGUGCUGCAGGCCAGGCUUCAAGGAGAGAAAACAGGGCUGCAGGUCAGAAGGAACAAGUUUAAGAGGAAACAAUCCACUGCAAUUGGUCACUGAACUCCAUGGGAGGCUGAGAAUUGGGGUCAGAGGCAGCAGUGGCAGUUAGGUAACCUAUGACUCCUUCUCCCUCUUCCCAACUGAUGUUUUCAGAGGUGGUUAUUCGGGGUAUAGGGUAGAGCACUGUCUUUGGAUCAUUUUUGCCCCUAUUGAGUCUCCACAUCCUGCCCCAACAGGAUGGAACAGUAGGGCCCUGGUCCAGACUGCAGCAUGGCCUGAAGCAUUGUCCCACCACAACGAAUGCCCUUCAGGAUCCCUAUCAAAAGACCUGGACAUAGGCACACAUCUUUAAUCCCAGCA